UACGUAGGGUGCAAGCGUUGUCCGGAAUUAUUGGGCGUAAAGAGCUCGUAGGCGGUCUGUCGCGUCGAAUGUGAAAACCCGGGGCUCAACCCCGGGCCUGCAUUCGAUACGGGCAGACUAGAGUUCGGUAGGGGAGUCUGGAAUUCCUGGUGUAGCGGUGAAAUGCGCAGAUAUCAGGAGGAACACCGGUGGCGAAGGCGGGGCUCUGGGCCGAUACUGACGCUGAUGCGCGAAAGCCAGGGGAGCGAACGGG
Molecule: ribosomal RNA, 253 nt
Filed under: uncultured bacterium
Lineage: Bacteria
Description: partial 16S ribosomal RNA
Rfam family: Bacterial small subunit ribosomal RNA
Source: RNAcentral